RNAcentral lists this unclassified non-coding RNA (253 nucleotides) under uncultured Bacillaceae bacterium. Its description in RNAcentral is "contains 16S-23S intergenic spacer region". It matches the Rfam family "Bacterial small subunit ribosomal RNA", at positions 524 to 776 of the family's 1533-position model. The record is from RNAcentral. Lineage: Bacteria; Bacillati; Bacillota; Bacilli; Caryophanales; Bacillaceae.
UACGUAGGUGGCAAGCGUUGUCCGGAAUUAUUGGGCGUAAAGCGCGCGCAGGCGGUCCCUUAAGUCUGGUGUGAAAGCCCACGGCUCAACCGUGGAGGGGCAUUUGAAACUGGGAGGCUUGAGUACAGGAGAGGAGACUGGAAUUCCACGUGUAGCGGUGAAAUGCGUAGAUAUGUGGAGGAACACCAGUGGCGAAGGCGACUCUCUGGUCUGUAACUGACGCUGAGGCGCGAAAGCGUGGGGAGCAAACAGG